UUCCAUCCUAUUCUUAUUCCUAUUCUAUUCUUCUCUGGUUUAUUUUCUGUGAAAUGAUAGAUUAUUAAAAUGUGAAUACUGUCUCAAGAAUUUCAAACAAUACAGCAGUGACACCACAUAGUCUUUUUCUUAUGCUCAUUUUUAAGCCAGUCUUCUAUUUAGGAUACUUUCAUUCAUGUAAAUACAAUAUUUGGAAAGAUGGAAAGGAAAAGAACACCCAUCAGCAAGGGCAUUUCAGCAAUAUAUUAGAAGAUGUGAAGAACCAUGUUGGGAACAGAUUUUCCUACAGAAUAAUUUAUCUGUAAUAAAAACCCAGUAUUGAUAUAUUUAAUAAUUAAAACAUAACAACCUUAAAGCAAUUUAUUUGUUAAAAAACAUCUUUUUAUUUGUACAUGUCAGAAAUAUAGAAAAAAUGGCUAAUCUUUUUAAAUAAUAAACAGUCAAAAUCUUUAUAAACACUGUAACUUUUAAUUUCUAUGAAAUGUCUUCAUAGUUCUGUGUUCAUAUAGUCCAUCUAUACAUUCACAAUUAAGCAGACUCAAAAUCACAAUUCUUACAGUGUUAGAAUAACAGAACAUGACCAACUGGAGGGUGCAGUUAUAGUGGCAACCCAGGCUCAUCUGUGUGGAAAGUUCUUACCAAGUGAUAUGGAAGAUCUGGAUCGGCUGGCACCAUUUUGUAAUAUGCUCAAUCCAUAUUUUAUUGCUAAAAGAGUUUCUCACUUAUAAUCUCACAGCUGAAAACUGGUUCCCCUCACCACACAUAUGCUUCUGAGCUGAUGUGAGUACUAGGUAGAUGACCAGGUUUGCCAUCCUUUUGUGAACCUAUCCAAGGUUAUUCCACAACACUUUUCAGAAUCUUAUGCUAAAUAAUGCAAAAAAAAAAGAAAUGAUAACAGACUGUUUUAUACUACAAAUAAAUAUCUUUAGAAUAUUCACUUGGAAUAGUUUUUUCAGUUGUAAUCAUAUAAUUGUAACAGCUAUGUCUGAAAAAAGGGUUCUUUGUACUUCAUAGGCAGUAUUGUUUCCUAGUAGAUUAAUAUUUACAGUGACCCAUUCUUCGGCCCUAUAGAUUGGUGAUGUAUUGGUUUUUCUUUCUUUCCUUUUUUUUUGUAAUUCUAGAAAAAAGUAAGCCUUUGUGGAACAUAGUUUUUUAAGUCACGUUUUUGACUUGGUUUGCACUGAUUUUUGAAAUUAUUUACUGCUGUAACUUUUAGCAUCUGUAGUUAUAUUGCUGCAGCCAAUCAAUGGAUGGAAAUAUGCAAAAAGUGAACAGACUCUGACAACAGUAGCUGAGGAAAAAGGCUUAUAAAAAUAAUGUUCAUACUUAAAGCGGCGGGCUUCCGAAAAGCAAAUUUUGUCUGCAUACUCGUACGUGUUCUGAUUUAAGACCUAAUAUAAUUCCUAUUGUUGAGGAUAAUUAGAUCGCUUAGUAUUAAUUGUACCAGCUAUAUAAGUCAUCAGGAUAUCUAUACACGUGUUAAACUUCUUUCUGAAAUGAGCAAUAACUCUGAUUUCGGUGGAAAAGGUAGCAUUCACAUUAACUCAGUAGUGCAAAGAUAAAGUUCCCUGAUCCAAGUUAUGUUUGCAAGUCAUCAGUUGGCAUAUGGAAAGUCUGCUGAGGUAUAAAACACAUAAAAUGCAUUCUUCUCUUUGUUAGGCUAACAAUAUUUUUUUAAAGAAAAAAUGAUUAAAAUAACUUUUUUAAAAAAAUGCACUUUGCUAUAAUAAAAGAUUUCUUUAACAAAAGAUUGUGCAGUAUCACCUGAUCAAAACUAUAUUUCAAUAAUUUUAUGGAGGAACCCCCCCUUCUCACAUACACAUAUGGUCCCUCUCUAAAUACCUACCUAUCCUUCUUUUGUUAUGGUACAUAUAUAAAUAGGUAACAUAGCUAUUACAGCAUAACUACUUCCUAAAACCAGCAACUUCAAAUGCUGGUACUAAAUAGUGCAACAAAAGUAUCAGUGCAGAACAUUUUAUCCCUGAGCCUCAAAAAAUAAAAAUAAUAUAAUCUGAAUUCAAACUAACACAUUUUUUCUUUCGUGUUGGGGUUUAUCCUUUCAUUAUGUCACUGAUAUCAAGCCUUCUUAUAAAAUCAUAAAAUCAUUAUUUCUACACAGAUGCCGCACAUGUAUAGCAAUUUGAAAUCCUAACUGAAAUUAACUGAAGCAGGAAAGCAAGCAGAGUGGCUUGACAUAGCAUCCCACCAGAGGUAUGUAUGAUGCACACUCUCUUGAGUAUUCAGAAGGCCCUUAAAAGAUUAUUUUAUUGCUGAACGUUCUUCAUGCUAGUGCUAAGCCUGGUCACUUAGAGGAGAAAUAGCAGAAGAUAUGUAUCAGGAAUUCAAGAGUGAUUCUGAGAUUCUUAACAUAUAAAGUCUACUAUGAAUUCCUCUUAUAGUUUUGAUAAUGUCUAAUGGCGAAUGAACAAUAAACUAUUGAAAAAUUAUAAAAGAAAAAUCUAUUCAAGAAUAAGCUGUACCAAGAAAUGUAAUAUCAUGCAGGGGUUUCAGAAUUUUUAAAAAGUGCCAUUGAUUAGAGCACUAACACUUAAAUGGACAAGCGUUCUUUCCUGUGUUCAAAGCACUUAAUAAAAAAACUUUUAUAACAAUA
Thamnophis elegans (Western terrestrial garter snake) is the source of this 2611-nucleotide long non-coding RNA. RefSeq lists it as uncharacterized. The record is from RefSeq and is a predicted model, not a curated record. Lineage: Eukaryota; Metazoa; Chordata; Lepidosauria; Squamata; Natricidae. The transcript has 5 exons.